GUGGGGAAUAUUGGACAAUGGGCGAAAGCCUGAUCCAGCCAUGCCGCGUGUGUGAAGAAGGUCUUCGGAUUGUAAAGCACUUUAAGUUGGGAGGAAGGGCAUUAACCUAAUACGUUAGUGUUUUGACGUUACCGACAGAAUAAGCACCGGCUAACUUCGUGCCAGCAGCCGCGGUAAUACGAAGGGUGCAAGCGUUAAUCGGAAUUACUGGGCGUAAAGCGCGCGUAGGUGGUUCGUUAAGUUGGAUGUGAAAGCCCCGGGCUCAACCUGGGAACUGCCUCCAAAACUGCAUGACUAGAGUACGGUAGAGGGUAGUGGAAUUUCCUGUGUAGCGGUGAAAUGCGUAGAUAUAGGAAGGAACACCAGUGGCGAAGGCGACUACCUGGACUGAUACUGACACUGAGGUGCGAAAGCGUGGGGAUCAAACAGGAUUAGAAACCCUUGUAGUCC
Molecule: ribosomal RNA, 450 nt
Filed under: uncultured bacterium
Lineage: Bacteria
Description: partial 16S ribosomal RNA
Rfam family: Bacterial small subunit ribosomal RNA
Source: RNAcentral